CAUGCAUUGGUGGGGUCCCUUGGCCUGGCCUGCGCCCUCUCACAAUCUGGGACCCCUCGGGGGAUGUCGGAGAGCCAGUUUCAGCCCUAUCCCCGCAGGCCAGGCCAAGGGACCCCACCGAUGCAUG
This is a non-coding RNA of Myotis davidii, 127 nucleotides long. The record is from Rfam. Lineage: Eukaryota; Metazoa; Chordata; Mammalia; Chiroptera; Vespertilionidae.